Molecule: ribosomal RNA, 374 nt
Filed under: uncultured bacterium
Lineage: Bacteria
Description: bacterial SSU rRNA
Rfam family: Bacterial small subunit ribosomal RNA
Source: RNAcentral
AUACGUAGGGGGCAAGCGUUAUCCGGAAUUAUUGGGCGUAAAGCGUACGUAGGUGGUUUUUUAAGCGCAGGGUUUAAGGCAAUAGCUCAACUAUUGUUCGCCCCGUGAACUGAAAGACUUGAGUACAGGAGAGGAAAGCGGAAUUCCUAGUGUAGCGGUGAAAUGCGUAGAUAUUAGGAGGAACACCAGUGGCGAAGGCGGCUUUCUGGACUGAAACUGACACUGAGGUACGAAAGCGUGGGGAGCAAACAGGAUUAGAUACCCUGGUAGUCCACGCCGUAAACGAUGAGCACUAGGUGUCGGGGUCGCAAGACUUCGGUGCCGAAGUUAACGCAUUAAGUGCUCCGCCUGGGGAGUACGUUCGCAAGAAUGAA